CAAUAGCGUAUAUUAAAGUUAUUGCAGUUAAAAAGCUCGUAGUUGGAUUUCUGGUCGGAAGCUCCUGUCCUCUGAUGAGCGUACAAGUGCGUCCUACCAUCCUUCUGUUAACCUUUAAGGCUUUCGCGGCUUUCUAGGGGCUCAGAUAUUUUACCUUGAGAAAAUUAGAGUGUUUCAGGCAGGCUAGCGCCGGAAUACAUUAGCAUGGAAUAAUGGAAUAGGACUUUUGCCUCUUCUGUUGGUCAUGAGGCUCGAGUAAUGAUUAAUAGGGAUAGUUGGGGGCAUUAGUACUUAACUGUCAGAGGUGAAAUUCUCGGAUUUGUUAAAGACUAACUUAUGCGAAAGCAUUUGCCAAGGAUGUUUUCAUUAA
RNAcentral lists this ribosomal RNA (370 nucleotides) under uncultured eukaryote. RNAcentral describes it as "partial 18S ribosomal RNA". It matches the Rfam family "Eukaryotic small subunit ribosomal RNA", at positions 592 to 976 of the family's 1831-position model. The record is from RNAcentral.